Lolium rigidum is the source of this 147-nucleotide long non-coding RNA. RefSeq lists it as uncharacterized. Lineage: Eukaryota; Viridiplantae; Streptophyta; Magnoliopsida; Poales; Poaceae. The transcript has 3 exons. The record is from RefSeq and is a predicted model, not a curated record.
CCCAAUACCAACAAGCCCCGACAGAAAAUUGUCUGGAUACUUAGUAUUUAGUUUUAUGCUUUCAUGGGAUGGUAAAAGAUUUGUUCAUCCAGUUUGCAGCGAUGGUUACGAGCUAAGGAAAAAGUUUUUGAUACACAUACUCAAGUA